UUCCUGUGUUUGUAUGAAAAUGAAGACUACUGUCUGAUUGAGGAACAGUAGGGGAAGAACCGAAGAACAGACCUUGGCUGCAUGGCUUUGGCCGCCUGGAAUCAUCCCAGCUUCUGUGUGCAGCGAAUCAAACCUCUGCAGCCUCCUUGGUGGUGACUGCAUCUUCUCUGAUGCAAAUCCAGAGUCUGCACCCCCUUCAGCAGCUCCAUUGCCGUUUGUCUUCAGAGGCUCAGCCAUCCUCUCAAGGUACGAUGAUAUCUUACUCGGUCCUACCUCUUCUGUUGUUUAAUAAUGACCUGCUUUUAUAAGCAUACCGGGUGGGGCCGGGGAUGACAACAUGUUGUUAUUACUUUUCUUGCAACGGUGUGAUUUGAACCUGUGGUGCUGGAGUCUGAAUGGGAUCCUCGUGCAACAAACAGACUUCUCACUGAAUGCUGGUGAAGUCAAAUAUUGUUAUCAUCCCCUUUGCGCAUGCUAGUCCUCUUUCAGUGCAGAAAUUGGGAAUCCUGUGAUCUGCAACAACUAAGGAAGGUGGCUACAGGGGAAGACACGCAAAUAAGCCAGGAAGGUGGCUAAGGGGGAAUGCACGUUGGCUUUUCAAAAGUAGCAUCUCUUGUCACAUGUGGACUUGUGAGUGGCGUAGCCUGUCUCUACCAGAAGCCACGCGUCGACGACGACGAAGGCGUCCAUGUGGCCAUCCAAUCAGCGUCAACAACUUUGAACAGUGUGUACAUAACUGAUGGCCCAAAGUGGCAGCCAACAGUAUUGACCUCGUUGCCGUGUCUCCAACUCGAGCAGCUGUUCUAGGCGAGCUGUUGAUUCCGCUGCAAGCCCGGUGGUUUCAACUCCCUUUCGCUGAAAUCUGAUGCGUUGCUGCAAACGUGGACUUGACCGGAUACACUUGCUCGCCAUAGCGCACGCCGGCAGGAUCUUUGUGAAGAACGGUCUUGCUGAUGGUGGCAUCCGAGGGGAGGAGCCAGCUGCCUGGCUAAAGCUACCAAGCUCUUUUGACCAUGCGCGCGUGAUCUCGG
Lolium rigidum is the source of this 1031-nucleotide long non-coding RNA. RefSeq lists it as uncharacterized. Lineage: Eukaryota; Viridiplantae; Streptophyta; Magnoliopsida; Poales; Poaceae. The record is from RefSeq and is a predicted model, not a curated record. The transcript has 3 exons.